GUGCUCGCUUCGGCAGCACAUAUACUAAAAUUGCAAUGAUACAGAGAAGAUUAGCAUGGGCCCUGCACAAGGAUGACAUGCAAAUGUGUGAAGCGUUCCAUAUUUUU
Molecule: small nuclear RNA, 107 nt
Filed under: Octodon degus (degu)
Lineage: Eukaryota; Metazoa; Chordata; Mammalia; Rodentia; Octodontidae
Source: RNAcentral